Molecule: transfer RNA, 72 nt
Filed under: Stegodyphus mimosarum
Lineage: Eukaryota; Metazoa; Arthropoda; Arachnida; Araneae; Eresidae
Rfam family: tRNA
About the family: Transfer RNA (tRNA) molecules are approximately 80 nucleotides in length. Their secondary structure includes four short double-helical elements and three loops (D, anti-codon, and T loops).
Source: Rfam by way of RNAcentral
GCUCUGGUGGUCUAACGGUUAGCACACUUGGCCUGUAUUCAAGAGGUCCAGCUUCAAAUCCUGGCUAGGGUA